CUCGUCUUUCACAACGUUUUUCACCUCCAUGUUGUCUCUCAAAACUGCACCCCUCUGGAAUGCCAAUGCUUGGAACAUGGACACUGCCUUGGUGGGCUUUAUAACCCCGCCAGCAUCAGUUAACACGCCAAACCAAUCCUCCGGUAGGUUAAUCGUGCCUGAGAAUCGGUCGGACACUUGUUGCCGGUCUAAGACCUGAUAUGGGAUGGACUUUUUUUCGCAGCUAGAGAUAACCGAGCGAAGGCUCUUGUUAUCCGAGGGGCUCAUAUCGAAUUGCUGUGCUUUGAAAUAAACCUUGUAGCCAAUCUCUGAUUGAACCUGCUCCCAAAUUUGUGAGGAUUCCUUAACCAUGUCACAGUAGUAGUCUUCUGGGUAAGUUGCACGUAUAGUUCGUGACUCGCCAUGUGAGGAUCCACGGUGGUGCAAGAAAUCAAAUUGCUCUAGCAACAGAGUUUUUUGGCCUCUUUUUGCUAGUUGAUAGGCAGUGGAACUGCCCAUAAUGCCGGCACCGACAACGAUAACAUCAAAUUGGUGGCUGGAAUAUUCCAUCUCUAGCUACUUCUCUUGUGGCAAGAACAAAGAUUUUUAGAGGAGAGGUUUCCCUUGGUUAGGUUGGAUCCAAGGAGGAAGUAAGAGAUGAGUUUUAAGGUGAAAAUAUUGCGCAAUGAAAUGGACCAUAUGAUGAUUUAAUAUUCAAAGUACUCUCUCCACCCAACUUGUUAGUUGUAUUUAUGCAUAAAAUUUCAUAUAAUAUAUGAUGGUGUCAUGCACGACUUUCAUGUUUUCUGAUGCAUUUUAAACGUGCAUGCAUAUAUAUAUUAGUGAAUUGAUAAAAUAUAAUUAAUUAGAUAACAAAAACAAAAUUAGGAUAUGUCAAUCAAUGAAAUUAGCUUCUUUUUUUAAUCAAAUUAUGGAUAUAUAGAUGAAUUGACAAUUGGGGCAAGAAAUGAUUAUAUGAUAUGGGUUUCUUCUAUUUAUUUAUAAUUAUAUAUUACCUUUUAUUGGGUAUGAUAUUACCUUUUUUAAUCCAUUUUUGACAAAACUGGACUAUUAAAUCUAGCCAAACAUGUAUAAAAUUUAACUAAUUAGACCUAUAAGAACUAUUGUUGCGGAUCUCUUUAAUAUUUUAUGCAAAAUUAUUAAACCCAGUCCAAGUUUCGAGUCACAAGUUGGACUAAUUAAUUUAAGUUGAUUUGGAUCAAUGAAAAAAAUAUUAUUUUUUUUUAUAUAAAAGAAAGGUAAAAGCAAUGUUGUUUUGAAGAAUUUGUUAAAUUAAACAGUUUUGAAUGGAUUAUGGGUUGACCUUUAUUGUAGAAUAGGAAAUUAAUAUAGAAUGUUGUUAUCAUUACAGUUACUCAUGUAUCUAUCAAAAUAGGAAAGUAAUAUAAGAUGUUGUAAUCAUUACAGUUACUGCAGUGUUCUGCUACCUCUAUAUAAAUAGGAAGGUUGGCUAAGGCACAACCCAACACAUUCCAUUAUUCUCAACUUGGUAUCAGAGCCACAAAACCCUAAAAUAAAUUAAACCUACUUUUCUCCUAGCCUCCCAGCCUCCCUUCUUCAAUGGAACAGCCGCCACAUACAUCUUCAAAUUCUGCAGCACCAGCAGUCCAGCUUUCUUCUUCUCCGACAGUGCAGCCCUCUUCUCUUGCAGCGCCUCCUCUGCUUUCCUCUACUGCGUCACCGCCUGGAUUCUCCUCUGCCAUGGCUGGUGAACGCCUCCUCUUGCAGCCCACGUCUGCUGCCUCUACUGCCGCAAGCAUUAUCUCCCUUUCUCACACUCAUCAAGUCAUCUCCCUCAAAUUAACAAACACCAAUUAUUUAUAUUGGCGUAUGCAGAUGCUGCCUUAUCUCCUAGGCCAAGGAGUUUUUGGUUUUGUUGAUGGCUCCAACACAUGUCCAUCAACACAUGUUCUUGCCCAUGAUGGUAUCUCUCUUCAGGUAAAUCCGCUUUUUCAAACCUGGAAACAACAGGACCAACUCAUUCUAAGUGCUCUUCUUUCCUCCCUAUCUAUGGAAGUUUUGCAUCUUGUUGUUGGCUGUCAAAGUUCUUGUUCAGCUUGGGGCACUCUUGAGCGAGCUCUCGCUUCCACCUCCAACUCUCGUAUUAUGCAACUUCACGGCUCUCUUCAGGAUCUUCGACAGGGUGAUGAAUCAGUAACUCAAUUUAUGCAAAAAGCGAAGGCCUUAUUUGAUGAAUUGGCGCUGCUGGUCGGCCAGUUUCGCUUGAAGAUUUCAAUUUAUAUGUGUUUCGUGGUCUUCGGGGAGAGUUUAAAGACUUAGUUACCAGUCUUAUUACCAAGGCUGAACCUUUAUCAUAUGCAGAUCUUCACAGCCAUCUCCUCACACAUGAAUUUCUUCACAAAUCUUCUGCUGCCAUACAUGCUCCUCUGCUGCCCACACCCAGCAUUCCAUCUUCUGCUCUUGUUGCGCAGCGCCAGACUUUUGGCAAUUCUGGCCGCAGCAGGGGCCGCUUCAACGGUGGCUGGCGUCCCAACCAGUCCAACAGAGAGGCAACCGAUUUGCUGGCUCCAGACCUGAUCACCGCAGCUUCCAAAACUCCUCCUUCGGUGACAAUAGGCAGGGCUCUUGGCAGCGCAAUAGGGGGCAGAAUCCACGCUGCCAACUUGUCAGAAUUUCGGCCAUACAGCUCCCAUUGCCCUCAAUUCCAGCAGCGAGGUUAUGGCCAACAACCUACUGCCAACCUGGUGCAGCGCAAUCUCUCCUCAACCGGUUCUGUUGAUUGGUUUCCAGAUACCGGUGCCAAUCAACACGUCACACCUGAUCUUGCCACCUUGACCGCUUCAGAACCGUAUCUUGGUAAUGAUAAUUUGCAUGUUGGUGAUGGUAAGGGCCUUCCUAUAUCUCAUCUUGGUCAUACAAAAAUAUAUACACCACAUCGUUCUUUCACCUUAUCUAAUGUUCUUCAUGUUCCUGCAAUCACAAAACCUCUGCUCUCUGUUCAGAAAUUUUGUCUUGAUAAUAAUGUUUAUUUUGAAUUUCACCCUCGUGUGUUUUAUGUCAAGGAUUUCAACACCCAUGAAGUCCUUCUCUCAGGUCAGAGUAAAGAUGGUCUCUAUGCCCUGACCAAGUCUUCCGUCACGUCAGUUCCUCAAGCCUAUUGGUCUCCCUGCACUUCUGCCUCUGCCGAUUUAUGGCAUCGUCGACUAGGUCAUCCUACUUCACGUAUUUUUCAAUUGUUAAUCUCGAAAAAUAAGAUCAUUUGUAACAACAAACGUCUUAAUUUUCAAUGUCAAAGUUGUCCUUUAGGAAAAUCAUCGCGUUUGUCUUUAGGACCUACGGGUCACAAAACUUCUGCUCCACUUGAAUUAAUUUUUAGUGAUGUAUGGGGCCCUGCUCCUCUUUUUUCUUCAGAUGGCUAUCGUUAUUUUGUUAUCUUUGUUGAUGCUUAUACUAAAUAUGUAUGGUAUUAUCCUCUCGUUGCCAAGUCUGAUGUUUACUCUGUUUUUCAUCAAUUUCAGACUCUUGUCGAACGUCAAUUUUCAUUAAAAAUAAAAUCUGUUCAAACUGAUUGGGGCGGUGAAUACCGAAAACUAUCCACAUUUUUUCAGACCAUUGGUAUUCAUCAUCGUCUGAUUUGUCCCCACACUCAUGAACAAAAUGGAACAGUAGAGCGUCGUCAUAGGCAUAUUGUGGAAACAGGUCUUACUCUUUUAGGGCAAUGUAAAGCACCUUUUCGAUUUGGAAUUAUGCUUUUGAAACCUCUGUUUAUCUUAUAAAUCGCAUGCCUACUCCUAUUCUUGCCCAUCGCUCUCCGUUUGAUUGUUUAUUUCAACGGUCUCCUGAUUAUCAUUUUUUGCGUACCUUUGGGUGUCUCUGUUUUCCUUUUCUGCGUCCAUAUAAUAAUCAUAAAUUGGAUUUUCGUUCCUCUCCAUGUGUGUUUUUUGGAUAUAGUUCCUCGCAUCUUGGUUAUCGAUGUCUUGACAUUGCAUCUCACCGUAUUUAUAUUUCUCAUGUCCGCUUCCAUGAACAUGUGUUUCCAUUUGAUAAUUCUGAACAGAUUGCAAAGGUCUCCACCACAACCCCCACCCCACCCGCUACUGUCACCCUCCCAAAUUUGCUAAACCACCCACCGCCACCCACUUUCACUAGCCACCCAAACAGCCCACAACACUCCGCUUUGCCACUCCAAACAGCCACCCGACCACAGCCUCCACCCAUCCCUUGGCCAUCAUCCCAUGCUUGUUUAUCUAACCCUUAUGAUGCAGGUUCAGAUCGUCAAUUGGUCUCCUCUCCUCAUGGUCUUGGGGCACUUUCUAGUCCCUCCUCUGCUUCGCCCUCCCUGGCCAGCACUCCUGCAGCUUCAGUCUCUACUUCCAGCCCCUCCUCUGCUGACAGUCCUGUGCUUGAGGCUGCUUCUUUAUCAUCCUCUCCCGCUGGUCUGCAACUUAUGGUUGAUUUGUCUUCUUAUCAGCUGCCACAGGUCUCCUCGCUACAACCGUCUUCCCCUGUGUCUCCACCAGCACACACAGACAUCCUAUGACUCUUAGACCGCGACAGCCGAAGACAACUAAUCUGGUUGCUUCCGCUGCCGCAACUUCUACCUCCACACGGGUACUAUAUUCUCCCUCUUCUGAGCCUUUUGCAUUCUCUGAUGCUGACCGGUAUGCAGUUUGGCAUAAUGCUAUGUGUGAUGAGAUCGCCGCUUUACGCGAAAAUCGCACUUGGUCUUUGGUUCCAUUUCAUCCUUCGAUGAACGUUGUUGGCAGUAGAUGGGUAUAUCGGAUCAAACGUCGUGUUGAUGGUAGUAUUGAGCGCUAUAAAGCGCCUUGUUGCUAGAGGUUUUACCCAGCAGGAAGGUAUUGAUUAUUCUGAAACCUUCAGUCCAGUUAUUAAGCAGGCCACUGUCCGAUUGGUUUUCUCUAUCGCGGUUUCGCGAAAUUGGAAGAUUCAUCAGCUUGAUAUUCAUAAUGCCUUCCUCAAUGGUGUUCUUACUGAAGAGGUCUACAUGAAACAACCUCCAGGUUUCGUUGACUCUUCUCUUCCAUCUCAUGUGUGCAGAUUGCACAAAUCAUUGUAUGGUUUGAAACAGGCACCGAGAGCAUGGUACACUCGUCUAAGUGAUUUUUUGCUCUCCAUCGGUUUCCGAGCUUCCAAGGUUGACACCUCCCUGUUUAUCUUAUCUGAUGGUACUAAUAUCUUUUAUCUCCUGGUGUAUGUUGAUGAUAUUCUGCUCACGGGUAGCAACUCUGCUAUGCUCCAUCACCUUAUACAGUUACUCAGCUCUGAGUUCAAGCUUCGUGACUUAGGUGUUGUUCACUACUUUCUGGGUAUUGAAGUUCAGUCUACCAGUAUGGGUUUAAUGUUGCGUCAACAUAAAUAUAUUCUUGACAUCCUCACCCGAGCUGGUAUGACUUCCUGCAAACCAGUUGAUACUCCAGUCUCCCCUUCGAAAGUCAUUUUAUUACCGGAUCAUUCAUUCUCUGAUCCUACACGAUUUCGUCAAAUCGUGGGUGCUCUUCAAUAUCUUACCUUCACCCGUCCAGAUAUAUGCUUUGCUGUUAACAGAGUCUGUCAGUUUAUGCAUGCUCCUACAGAUUCUCAUUGGGCUGUCAAACGUAUUUUACGCUAUCUUAAAGGUACGACAUCUUAUGGUUUCCAUAUCACUCGAGGCUCCUCUUUUGCUCUACAUGGCUUUACAGAUGCAGAUUGGGCUGGUAGUAUUGAUGAUCGCAAGUCUACGGGCGGCUAUCUUGUCUUUUUUCAGACGCCGAUUUCUUGGAAAUCCGGCAAGCAACGCACUGUUGCUCGCUCCUCUACUGAGGCUGAGUAUAAAGCCCUUGCUGAUGGUACCGCUGAAGUCAUUUGGCUUCAAUACUUGUUAACAGAUUUGCAAGUUCCCUCAGUCUCUGCUCCUACCAUUUGGUGUGAUAAUCUUGGUGCUACCUAUCUCUCAGCAAAUCCUAUCUUCCAUGCUCGUACUAAGCAUGUUGAAGUGGAUUAUCACUUUGUCCGUGACCGUGUUGCCAAGAAAAAAAUUCAGAUUCGUUUUGUUCCCUCUCGGGAUUAACUUGCUGAUGUCUUCACUAAACUGCUUCCUGUUGCAUCCUUUACUUCUUUUUUGUUCAAGCUUCGAGUUGAUCCCCCACCCUCAGCUUGAGGGGGCAUAUUGUAAAAUAGGAAUUUAAUAUAGGAUGUUGUUAUCAAUAUAAUUACUCAUGUAUCUAUCAGAAUAGGAAAGUAAUAUAGGAUGUUGUAAUCAUUACAAUUACUGCAGUGUUCUGCUGCCUCUAUAUAAAUAGGAAGGUUGGCUAAGGCACAACCCAACACAUUCCAUUAUUUUCAACUACCUUAUAGGUCGAUUAGGUCAAACAAUAUCAACUUUUGUUUGAUUUAUUUUUUUUACAACCCGACUUGCCUAUUAGUCUUGGCUAGGUUUAUUAACUUUCAUUCAAUAGACUAUAGAUAUUACUAAAUCAUUGGCUAAUGUUAUCGCUACCUAGUGAGUCAGAUCAUUUUUUUUUAAAAUAUAUAAAACAAAUAUCCAAGCAUUGCUAACAUAUUUUCUAAUAGAAACAAACCAUGUAUGGGGUUGGCUUGCUGUGACUUGGUCGACUUGAUGGGUCCAAUAAAAACUUCGAUAACUGAAAAAACAUAGUUUAACUAAAAAAUUGAGAUAGUAUUUUUUUUAAUAUUGAGACGACAACAUAUUAGAUUGACAAGGAUCAACCCGGGUUAAUCUUUCAAAUUCAUGACCCGGAUCAUAAGAAUGUGAUAACCCAAUAGAAAGCACAUCGAAAUAAAUUAUGAUUCACAAUUCAUAAUCAAUCCACUAUUUAAUGAUAAGAUUGAAAAAACUUCAAUUAAAAAAAGGACAAAAAACAAAUGACUUGCAUUACCUGUCAAACUCAUGAUUCGAGUUAUGAAAUUAAAAUAAAUUAUGCAUCACAAUUCCCAAACAACUCAUUAUUUAAGGAUGGAGUUGGAAAAAAAAACCAAUUAAAAAAACAUAAAAACAAAACAUUCGGGUCAACUCAGGAUAACUCGUCAAAUCCAUAAUUUAGAUCAUAAAACUAGGACAACCUCAUAGAAAGUAAGUUGAAACAAAUUAUGAACACUAAUUCUCAAUAAACUCAAUGUUGAAGAAAAAAGUUUUAAAAAAUAAUUAAAAAGGGGACCCAAAAAAUAACCUAUAUCAAUUGAGUUAACUCAUCAAACCUAUAAUUUUGAUCAUGAGACAGAGAUAACCUCAUAAAAAGCAAACAAAAAUAAAUUAUGAAGCCUAAUUCUCAAUCAAGCAAACAUUGAAGGAUAAAACUAAAAACAAAUUAAUUAAAAAAAGAAAAAAAACCCAAUUUACAGGUUAAAUAGCUAAACUCACAACAUGAGUCAUGAUACUAGAAGUUCAAUCUCAUAGAAAAUACAUUCUUGAUACAGUUUAUGAAGUUCAAUCUCCAAUAAAUUUAAAAUUACAUAAUGAAAUUGAAAAAAACUAAAUUUAAAUAAAAAAACUUAUUAAUAUUCCAAUGAUCAGUCAUAUGUGAGGAGGGGAAAUGUGAAUUGCCCUCUUCAAUUAGUGAUAUAAUUAGCUGUGGAUCUAUGCUGCGCCACGAGGUCAUAACUUUUUUGUGUAAAAAAUAAUAUUCAAGUGCCGCAAAUAUGUUUUAAUGUAAGAAGAACUCAGAUCAUAGACCUGAUUAUGUUAAAUAAGUUGGUUUUAUUUUAAUUAGGUGAUAGAAAAAACAAGCAACGAUAACAUAAGGACCAAAUUAAAAAAAACAAUGAUCAUGAUAACUUGGAGAAAAAAUAUUUUUUCUAAAGAAAACAAACAAUAUAGCUCAAUUCUCAGACUAUAAAUAUAGAAGGAUGAAAUUAGAUUAAAAAAAAAAACCAGCUCGAUUCAAUCUAAGUUAACACAACAAACUUAUAAUCAAGGUAAUAACGGCCGAGCCAACCCUAUUUAACCCCCCAAACUAGCGAAUCAGGUCAUAUGAUUGAGCUAACCAGAUGUAAAAGAAAACUAAGAAAAUAACAAAACCCUUUUUAAAAAAAACAAUGUUUAAUGAAAAAUGCUGAAAAGAAAAUUAAAAAGAAAAUAAUGCUACUCAUGUUGAUUUUUUAAACACGUGACAAGAGUUAUUAGAUUGAAAACACCCUAUCCAAGAAAACCAUAAUGCCUAAUUCACAAUCAAUCAAAUGUUAAAGAUUGCAAUUGAAAAUUUGCCAAAAAUAACUCUUUUUUAUAAGCUGCAAGCACUGCAAAAAAAAAAAAUAAGUGUGCAACCAGCCAAGAGAAAAAAAUAAAGAAAAGAGGGCUCUUGUCAUUUUUCAUGAUAAUUGCUUGGAAAAAAAAAAGAAAGAUAGGAAGAAUGUUGAGUAAUUAAAGAGAGGGUUUAAUGUGUUAAGGGGUGUUCAAUGAAUUUGUGUCCACUUGUUUUUGCUUUUGAUUCUUCAUUAUUUAAGGGAGAGGUUGGAGGCUCUGGACAGCAACAGGGAGUUGCUAGUCGAGUACAACCAGCAGGAAGGUGCUCUACAUCUUGAAUAUUUGUAGAGAGAUUAAUUGAAAGCAUGUGUUAAUUUUUAAUUAAAAAUUAUGUCAUUUUAUAUUUUGAUGUCAAUUGAUGAACUAGUGCCCAAUAAUUGGAUGGAUGAACCAGUGCCUGGUAAUUAAGCGAAUGAACUGGUAUCCGUAUUGAGAAACUAGUGCUCAGCAAUUGGAUGGAUGAACUAGUGUCCGAUAAUUGGGCAGAUGAAUUGGUGUCCCUAUUGAGAGAUUAGUGUAUGGCAAUUAAACGAAUGAACUAGUGCUCGGUAAUUGGAUGGAUGAAUUGGUGUCCCUAUUGAGAGAUUAGUGCCCGGUAAUUAGGCAGAUGAACUAGUGCUCCGUAAUUGGACGAAUGAACUGGUACUCGAUAAUUUAGGCAAGGAUUAACGUUCCUGUUAAGGGAUUAGUGCCCGAUAUUUGGGUGGGUGGGUUAGCGUGCCUAAUAGGGGAGGAGUACCCCGGUGAAUGGGCUAGGAAUGAAAUUAAUUGGAUGAAUAUGGAUGUGUAAAAUAUUAAUGAUUCAUCAUAAAAUAUAUAGAAGAAAUAUUUUCAUAUGGGUGUAAUGAAAUGAUGCAUUGCAUUUAUUGAUAAUUAUGUUGAUAAAGUGAAAAUCUUAUUUUCAGGAUCCUAGCAGCAAGAUAGUAGAUCCUUUUUAAUAUUAGACAUUUUUGUAUAUAUUUAUGUUGAUCAAUAUGUAUUAUGGGAUUAAUGAAUGAUGUAAAAGAUAUUGAAUGAAUCAUUUUAGUUACACAACAUAAUUUUUAUAUCUAAUUAAUGUUAAUGUUAUACUUACAAAUGUUUUUGUGCUAAAUUAAGUAAUUACAUUCUAAAAUGUUUGCUCAUAUGAUUAGAAAAAAUUACACUAAAUUUUCAUAGUUAACUAAGAAAUUAUCCUAGAUAAAAUAAUGGGGAUGUUACAAAAAACUGGCUCAAUUCAACUAAAGAUAAUGCAACAAACCUAUAACCAGGGUAAUAACAGCUGAGCCAACCCAAAUUAACCCCUAGACUCGUGGUUCAGGUUAUAUGAUCGAGAUAACCCGAUAUAAAAGAAAACUAAGAAAAUCACAAAACCUAUUUUUUUAAAAAAAAAAAAAACAAUGUCUAAUGAUAAAAGUUGAAAAGAAAACGAUAAGAAAGAAAUGAUAUCAACUCACAUUGACUUUUCAAACAUGUGACAAGAAUCAUGGGAUUGAAAGCACCUUGUCCAAGAAAACCAAAACAUAAAGGUUAAUUCACAACCAAUCAAGUGUUAAAAAAUAAAAUUUUUAAAAAAAAGAAUUUCAAUUAUAAAAAAUAAUCCGAAACAAAAAAAUAUCAAUUAAUAGAAUGUAGAUCAAAAUUUAAAUAAAAAAUAAAUUUUAUUUUUUUAUUGAAUAGUAAAAUUAAAAAGAAAAAUAAUUUAACAGAAGGACUAAAAAAUAAAACAAUAAAAAAAAUAAUGAUCAAAUUAAAAUAUAUAUAUAUAUAUAUAUUACAAAUUGAGAUUGAAUGAUAAAAUUAAAAACAGAUUUAAAUUAUAUAAAAGGAUCAAGAACAAAAAUUAAAAAUUAAAAAAAUAAGAAUUGAAUUUAACAUCUCAAUAAAUCAAAAAACAACUCUAAAACUUUGCAUGGUCAACAUGAUUUUUUAGGAAAGAGAGAAAAGUCUGAGGAGAAGAAAAAUAGGUCACUGACAUCGCAUUGCUAUCCUAACACCGUCACGCUCCAUUUCAAAAGGAAGGGUUAUUAAACAUGUCCAAUUUGAUGGGUCAACUCGAAAAUCUAGUGAUCUAAAACUUGAUUGGAAUUGGGGUUUUGAAUGUUGACCCAAGUAAACCCAAAUAACUUAAUAAAUUGAUCCUGUGAUUUAGAUAACUCGAUAAGUUAAUAUGCCAUGUAAUUAGCCCAUUCAAACCUAAAAAAAUACCCUACCAUAUCAAUUUUAAAAGAAAUACUUUUUAUUUUUCAGAACAAAGCUUUUUUGGGAUUGUUCUAAAUUUAUCCGAUAUCAUGUGAAUGAGAUUAACUCAACAAUUGAAUAAUCAGUUCUUAGACUUAAUCAGAUCUCAAAUUAGACAUAACACCGAAGACAAUAAAAAUCAUUCCAGCUAUGCAUGAAUAUAAACGAUGCAACAUACACACACACACUUUUGGAUGAUCACAUCUUUAAAGAUUCUAUCUCUAAUAAAUCUUGUACUAUUUGGAACUUUUUGAUUUAAAGAAUUCGUCGAAAUCAAUUCCUUCAAUAAAGUAAAACCACAAGAAUUUGCAAUAGUGUUGUCAACAGCGAUGCAGCCUCUGCUAUGUUUAGCAAGGUGAUUGGUUAAGAUAUGUAAAUUAUAAUUCAGUCCCUAUAAAUAAACAAAUGUUUCACUUCAGCAUCUACAUUUUUUUUCUUUUCCCAAAUCAUCCAUGUUUUUUUCAAAAGAUUUCAGUGAGCCCGUUACCGUUAAGUAGCUGAUAAAAUAUAAAUGAUUUUUUUAAAAAAAAUUAUACCCCAAAGUUACUUGAUAGUGGAGCAGCAUUAAAAUUUUAAUUUAUUAUUUUAUUUUUAUAUUAUGUUAUAAUGUAUGAAAUAAUGAAAGCAUCUCAAUCACUGUAGCUUCGAUUGAAUAAAUUAACAGUACUUUAUUGGGUGACGAUAAUAAAAAAACAUAGCAUAUAAUAAUUGAGAUUUGAAUUCCAAGCACUCCUGCAACCAUGUGUGGAUGCCUUGCUUAAUCAAAAACGAAGCACUUUUGAAUUCCAAGUAAUCUUUUUUUUUUUUUAACCAAACACAAUCUAAAAAUAUUAUUUCAUCUUAAAUUAUUUUCACUUGUUUUCUAUACUUAAGAAGGGAGAGGGGAUUUUUUUGAAAUAUUACUCAAACAAAACUAAAGAAAAAUGAAUUAAAUAAAUAAAAAAGCCAAGCCAGAACCUUUCCCAUAAAAAAAGCCAGAAACCCGAAACACACAGAUUCUCGCAAGCAGCAGACACAUCCAUAUAUAGCCAUAGCCAAGAACACUGAAGGAAGUUAGCUGGCAAGACCACAUAUAUAUAUAUAUAAAAACGAAAAAGUGGAAAUUGUUCAAAUAUAAAUUAUUGCUUAUACUUCUAUUAAACAGGCUAUGACUGUGGAUGAAUAAGUUUAUAGCCCUAUCCCCCUAAACAUCUUAACUCCUUCAAUGUUCAUAAAAUCUUAUUUUAACUAGUUAGUUUAGCUAAAUUGAGUAGCAGUAUGGAUUCGUAAUUCGAUGGUACUUUUGCAAAAAUAAGAGAGUUGAGGUCUUGUUCGAAACUCAGAGAUAUCACUACUUGUCUAACACUACUACUCUUCCCAUCCCCUUCAUCUGUGGAAUUUGUUCACGAAAAGAAAUCCCUCCAUGUUUUUUAGUCAAUCAACAUGCACCAGAUAAAGCUAAGGUCAUGCACCAGCUGCAAUCAAAAGCUUGAAUGGCUUGAUUCUGUCACCAUCAAUUAGCACCACUAAUCUCUUUUGAUAAUGUCAUGCAAUCACACAAAUGAGCUCGUUCCAAAUGUGCUUGGGAUUUUGAUAUCUUUUGCGGUUUUGGUUUGGAAAAAAACAAUUACCAUAAUUUGCGAUGGAUUCCAUGAAUAUUUCCCGAGUAAAGACAUCUCUAUCUAAAAAGACAAUCAGAGCCUAAUCAGACAAAGAAAAUGCUGAAACGCACCUUUUCCAUAUCAUGCUAUGUUAUAAAGUCGAAGAAAAUUAAUCAAAUGAAAAUGACUCAAUCCAUUCACUAAGAAGCGGUGAAACUUUUUAGCAAGGCUUGCUCUUACUUUUCUGGCUUGUAAAGAGGUAGUCAAUUGAUUCCUCUAGCAUAAUUUUGUCCAGAUUCUUUGUACUACCAUCUUCACAAAACGUUAAUCUUUGAAGUCCCUGUCUCUCUAAAUUUUGGAACCAAUAGGCUGCUGAGUGGAUGCAAAGCUGCACUGACUCAUCUUCCAUCAAGGGAUUGUGACAAAUCCGUGCCUGCCAGGGUUCAAAUAUUGGCAGCCCAUUAGAACAUGUGGCCUUAGAACAUGCUCAGAAGAGUUAGCUUUUCGAUAAUGAGAAAUUAUUACAUUAACCGACCAAACCUUGUCACUUCGAAGUGGCUAAAUCGACCAAACCUUAUCACUCUACAUGAAUUUGAUCCGUGACAACAACAAACUUUAUUAUGCUAUUAAUUCAGAAAAGAUUAUGAAACAGGGGAGAAUUGCAGGUUGCAACAGCUUUAAUGUUUAUUAAUUCAAAAAAGAUUAUGAAACAGGGGAGAAUUGCAGGUUACAACAGCUUUAAUGUUUAUUAAUUCAGUAAAGAUUAUGAAACAGGGGAGAAUUGCAGGUGACAACAGCUUUGAUGUUUAUUAAUUCAGAAAAGAGUAUGAAACAGGGGAGAAUUGCAGGUUACAACAGCUUUAAUGUUUCAAGUCUUCUUGUUGGGCUUGAAUACAUACUCAAGUAUUGAUUCUUUAAUUGAUAACAUUUCAGGGAAUUCAUCCUUCAGCUUUGUACCAUCCAGCUCAUUGAGUCAGAUAAAAGAUGUUGAGUAAAUGAAUAGAAGAUGCCUUGAUUCAAGUUCCAUUCAAAGGCUAAUUGAAGAUGUCGAGGGUGAAGUGAAACUUGAAGAUGUUGGGACGUACAGGAGGUGGCUCAAAGCAGGGACACAUUAUUGGACAAAGAAAGGAAUGAAGCAGAGGAGUUAGCAGGUCGAGUAGAAACUCUUGAGAGCGCUUUACGUGAGAAAGAAUCCCAAUUAAAUAUGCUUGAAGGAGUUGAAGGUUUGGGACAUCCAAGUAACCCAGCCUCUGAAAUUGUGGAAGUUAAACCUGUGGUGAGUCUUUCAAUCUAUCCUCUCACAUGAUGAAACUUAGUUGCUUAGUGAUUCCAAGAUGUUUGGUAACAAAUCCUGACAAAGCAGAACUGUGUAAUUAAGAUUUUCUAUCUAGUUGAAACAAGUAGAGCAAUCUUAAGGCUUCUAUGCUGGUAAUAGUGUCAGGAUAAGCUUGUCGAAAGGUUUGAGUUUGACGCCUGCCAGUAAUUUCUGUUGGCCAUAAUUUGGAGUCAAAAUGUUUUGCACUUCGAUGUUUUUUGUUUUAAAGCAGUUCGAUUCUUGUUUAGUUUUCCUCUUCCACCUCGGUUCCUGGUUUCAAGUCGCUUACUACAUCGAGAAUUGCCCCAAAGUUUACAAGACCUGUGUCUGACAUGAUUGAUGGUCUAUGGUAGGAUUAUCUGCUUUAUUCUUUCAACUUUUUCUUCUUAAAGAGAAGAAAUCUACAAGGAUUAGGUUUUUCCUUAAUCUGACAAUGUGAAGUUCUCAUGCCUAUCAUUUUCCUGACGAGCUAUGGGGAUGAUAAUGCGUAAAAAAAUGAAGAAGAAGAGGGAAAAAAGAAGGAAAAAGUCUUUGCUCUUGCAUGCUUACCUCUCUAUAUAACUACCAUGAAAACAAAUAAUACACUACUAUAAUUUUUAUAUUAAGAGAUUGUACUACUAUGGUAGUGUGGAAAAUUUGGUGUAUGGAUUAUUUUUACAACAUCCAUGAAAUAGACAGUCCAAAAUUCAUUGAAAUAAUAUAUAUAUCUCCAAGACUGAAUGAGCCAGGGUUUGACAGCUUUUUCUUUCUCCUUGGCAGUACAAUGGAUAGCAAGAACAUGAUCACACAGAAUGGAUUCACUUGGAUCAGAAUGAUCUGAUUACUUAAGUGUGAUCUGAUUCACUUGGAUCACUAAACAGGACUAUGGAAAGUCAAAACCUCACUCGAGCAGGUUCUGAUUUGGUUUAAAGGCUAGAUGAACCCAAGCUCCUUCCAGGAUCAAAUUGUAGCGUAGAGUGAAAUACUCUCUAAUCUCUAUAUGUGGCCAGAUUGAUUCAUUAUUUAGCUCAACCAAGAAGCUGUGAUUGCCAUUUCACUCUUACAAAUCGCAGAUUCAGUCGAUUGCAUCUAACAAGAAGAAAUUACCUGAACCCAACAACACCAUCAUCAUCACAGUGUUGUUUCUCUAUGAGUUCAAGGCUUCGUUCCUCUUUUUGAAAACUAUACAAAAGCAGCAAAAUUCUCUGAAUGUUAUCUGUAGUUUGUACAUAUUGGAUCUCUUGACUCCAUUUUUUUGCUAGCAGAUGAGAUGUAUACAUGUCUUCAUAAUUUAGGGUUAGAAGAUAGAUUCGGAGAAUCACUAUAUAUAUAUUUAUUUGACAAUAAAAUAUUAGAUUACUAGAAAGUGAUAAAUACAGUACUAAAGAUAAGAUACCAACCAAAUUAGCCAUGGCCACAAAAAGCCCUCGAUUUCCUGACGAGCAGGUUCUGGUUUGGUUUAAAGGCUAGAUGAACGCAAGCUCCUUUACUAAAGAUAAAUAUACCAAACAAAUUAGCCAUGGCCACAAAAAGCUCUAGAUUUUUUUCCCAUUGACAUGCAUGGACAAGAAAAUAAUCUGUCUGCUCAUUUACUUGUGAUUUGAAAAGAAGUUGACCAGAUCUUCAUAAUCCUUCACAUUCCCUUUAGCAUUAUCCUGAAACCUUUGAACCCUAAAGUAUUUCAUUUCCACGCCCUUCGCCUCCCCACUAAGCACAAGGUCAGCCAAAACCCUGCCCACAACUGGAGCCAUCUUGAACCCAUGACCCGAAAACCCACCGCCAAUCACCACAUCCUUCCCAAACUCCCCGCCGAGAAAAUCAAUCACAAAAUCCUCGUCUGGGGUCAUUGAGUACAUACAUGACUGAGUAGCAACCGGUCCGCCAUAAUCAACCAAGCCUGAGAAUCUCCCCUUGAUCCAUUCCUUCAGAGAAUCCAAUGAAAUCCCAGCUGGACCCCAUGGCCUCUUAUCAGGGUCACAAGGGUACCCUCCGUGCACAGAAAUCUUUAUCAAACCUGGAAACUCCAACGACGGUGUGCCGUAAACGCAGGGCUCCCCGUAGCUUACAAACGUAGGAAAAUCACUUCCAAUGGCAAACUUCGCCUCAUGCCCCUCCUUGAUCCUCCAAUAACACACUGUGGUCUCCAAGGCUUGUAUAGGCAAUUCAAGCCCACCAACCGUUUUAACUAACUUUCUUACCCAAGCCCCAGCAGUAAUCACACAUUUUUUACCCCAAAACUUUUCACCAUCGGCAGUCUCCACAUUUACCCCUCCUUUUACCUCGUCUUUCACAACGUUUUUCACCUCCAUGUUGUCUCUCAAAACUGCACCCCUCUGGAAUGCCAAUGCUUGGAACAUGGUCACUGCCUUGGUGGGCUUUAUAACGCCGCCAGCAUCAGUUAACACGCCAAACCAAUCCUCCGGUAGGUUAAUCAUGCCUGAGAAUCGGUCGGACACUUGUUGCCGGUCUAAGACCCGAUAUGGGAUGGACUUUUUUUCGCAGCUAGAGAUAACCGAGCGAAGGCUCUUG
This 15844-nucleotide long non-coding RNA is filed under the name Populus tremula. RNAcentral describes it as "long non-coding RNA (PTRE_LNC002460)". The record is from RNAcentral. Lineage: Eukaryota; Viridiplantae; Streptophyta; Magnoliopsida; Malpighiales; Salicaceae.